GAAGAUGCGAGCGUUAUCCGGAUUUAUUGGGUUUAAAGGGAGCGUAGGCGGGCUGUUAAGUCAGCGGUCAAAUGUCAGGGCCCAACCUUGUCAUGCCGUUGAAACUGGCGGUCUUGAGUUCACACAAGGAAGGUGGAAUUCGUUGUGUAGCGGUGAAAUGCUUAGAUAUGACGAAGAACUCCGAUUGCGAAGGCAGCCUUCUGGGGUGUUACUGACGCUGAGGCUCGAAAGCGCGGGUAUCAAAC
This 245-nucleotide ribosomal RNA is filed under the name uncultured bacterium. Its description in RNAcentral is "partial 16S ribosomal RNA". It matches the Rfam family "Bacterial small subunit ribosomal RNA", at positions 528 to 773 of the family's 1533-position model. The record is from RNAcentral.